This is a long non-coding RNA of Thalassophryne amazonica, 96 nucleotides long. RefSeq lists it as uncharacterized. The record is from RefSeq and is a predicted model, not a curated record. Lineage: Eukaryota; Metazoa; Chordata; Actinopteri; Batrachoidiformes; Batrachoididae. The transcript is spliced from 3 exons.
CAAUUAACUGUAAUUAAAGUACCUGACGCUCUUUAAGUAGAUCUGUAACAAAGUAUAAUGGGACGAAAGUUGAUCUGAGGCAUAAACAGUUGUGUG